Molecule: ribosomal RNA, 444 nt
Filed under: Philautus davidlabangi
Lineage: Eukaryota; Metazoa; Chordata; Amphibia; Anura; Rhacophoridae
Description: partial 12S rRNA
Rfam family: Bacterial small subunit ribosomal RNA
Source: RNAcentral
AUUACGAGCCUAGCUUAAAACCCAAAGGACUUGUCGGUGUCCCACCCUACUAGAGGAGCCUGUUUUAUAAUCGAUACCCCCCGUUAUACCUAACCAUUUUUACCCGCCUGUAUAUCGCCGUCGCAAGCCUACCAUAUGAAUGAGUAAUAAUAGGCUUAAUAGCUUAACCCCUACAACGUCAGGUCAAGGUGCAGCUUAUAAAAUGGUAAAAAUGGGCUACAAUUUCUAAAUUAGAACAAACGAACUGCCACAUGAAAUAAGGUCACAAAGGUGGAUUUAAUAGUAAAUAGGAAGCAGAGAGCCCUAUUAAACCCGGCCCUGGGACGCGUACAAACCGCCCGUCACCCUCUUCAAUAGCACCAACUAGCUUCAUAACCUAACACAGCAUCUUAGAGGAGGUAAGUCGUAACACGGUAAGUGUACUGGAAAGUGCACUUGGAAUAA